CUGGGCUGAAGCAACAAGGCACCUCAGCUUGCAACGCUGAGGCUGCAUGAAGCAUGCAUGAAGCAGAGCUCCAGGUUUGUUCCGUUUUGUCUGGCUUUGGGACGUCUGCAGCUACCAUUUGGUCUGGGAGCAAAUAAUAUCUCUAGCAUCCUGGAUGCUGCUCAUGAUAAUCCCAAGCUUCCUGGCUGUGGCUUUGUGAUGCCUUUCAGGGCUUUUGAUGCAUUUUGAUGCCUUGGCUGCUCCCUAACACCUCUCUCCUCCCGCCGUGUCCAUUCCUGGUUCCCAACCUACGAGCUGGCCGUGCAGAGCAUCUGCAGACCUGUCAUCAUCACGCUGCUGCAGGACGAGCUCACCCUGACCAACAUCUCUCCCGACCCAGCUUCUCAUUGGUCAUCGGCAGCACCGCCCCGCCCCCUGCCUCUCAUUGGUCAUUGGCAGCACCGCCCCACCCCCGGGGUCUCCUUCAUCUGCGGUAGCUCCGCCGGCUGCGAUUGGCUGAGCCACUGGGUGCGGGAGCGGCCGUUGGGGGCCGGCUGUUGGAGGCGCAGGAGACCUCGGCGGCAGCCGUUGCUGUCCGGGCAGCAGCGAGGCAGAAGCCGCGGCACAACGGGACACUGAGGACAGCAGCGCCGGAGGUGUGCAGGAGAGCAGUCCCGGGACAGGGAGAGGAGCCCUGCGCGGCCCCAAGCAAGGGGAAAUGGCCGUCAGCUGGAGCGCGGGAAGUUCCGCUCCUGCAUGGGAAGGAACUUCUUCCCAGCGAGGACGACAGAGCUGUGGCACAGGCUGCCCAGGGAGGCUGCGGCUUCUCCUCGUCCGGAGAUAUUCCAGAGCCGCAUGGACGCCCGCCUGUACAGCCUGCUGUUUGCUAGUGGAAGAUGGAGAGAGGAAUGGCAAGUCAAAGUCAUGCUGUGCAUAGCCAGCACAGAGCAUUGCACCAUUUCCCCCUGCACAAAGGAGGAGCAGCUCAGCAAGCUUGGCCUGGGCCAUGGAAGGGAGCACACCAACAUCUGGACCGACCCCAAACGAGCUGGUUGUGCAGGAAUCUAUGUGGGUUAUUUAAUGAGGAAGAAACUGGUUGUACAGCCCUGUCGCGCGUGCUCAGAUGAGCCAAGUUGUCAAGGCCUGGCUGUUGGUUGGUGAGUUGUGCCCAAGGUCAGAGAGUUGACUCUUCUUGGCUUUGAGACGUCUUCUAGUUGCACGCUGUGUUCUUCCUCUUGACCUCUUGAGCUCCUGCCCUAAGUGAGGAUGCAAGCAGGACUGCGGAAGGAAGGGUUGAGAUUGGAAGUGCAAUGCCAAGGACUGGAGCCAGCAGGAGCAGGGAAGUGAUCAUCCCCCUGUACUGAGCACUGUCAUGACCACAGAACCAUAGAAGCGUUACCCAGACCAAAUGAGCAUUUGUCACCUGGACUUCCUACCAAUGACACAGGCGGUGGGAAUCAGCAUGCGAAGCAUCCGUAAGAGCCCUGCAAAGGAAUGGCAGAAAAGCUGGAUGUGUCUGCCAAGGGAGAUGUACACCACACUUGCACUGCAUCACUGGGUGAUGUGGAAACGGAAAUUCUGGGGUGUGCUGCAG
Non-coding RNA from Meleagris gallopavo (turkey), 1573 nucleotides. Lineage: Eukaryota; Metazoa; Chordata; Aves; Galliformes; Phasianidae. The record is from RefSeq and is a predicted model, not a curated record.